GCCUAGAUUGCUCAGUUGGGAGAGCGUUAGACUAAAGAUCUAAAAGUCCCCCGUUUAAUCCCGGGUCUGGGCA
RNAcentral lists this transfer RNA (73 nucleotides) under Penaeus japonicus. RNAcentral describes it as "tRNA-Phe". It matches the Rfam family "tRNA". From Rfam's summary of the family: Transfer RNA (tRNA) molecules are approximately 80 nucleotides in length. Their secondary structure includes four short double-helical elements and three loops (D, anti-codon, and T loops). The record is from RNAcentral. Lineage: Eukaryota; Metazoa; Arthropoda; Malacostraca; Decapoda; Penaeidae.